CCUACGGGAGGCAGCAGUGGGGAAUAUUGCACAAUGGGGGGAACCCUGAUGCAGCGACGCCGCGUGGGUGAGGAAGUACUUCGGUAUGUAAAGCCCUAUUAGCAGGGAAGAAAAUGACGGUACCCGACUAAGAAGCCCCGGCUAACUACGAGCCAGCAGCCGUGGUAAUACGUAGGGGGCAAGCGUUAUCCGGAUUUACUGGGCGUAAUGGGCGCGUAGACGGGGUGCCGAGUCUGAUGGGAAAGGCCGGGGCUCAACCCCCGGACUGCAGUGGAAACUGGCAGUCUGGAGUGCCGGAGAGGCAAGCGGAAUGCGUGGUGUAGCGGUGAAAUGCGUAGAUAUUGGGAGGAACACCGAUGGCGAAGGCAGCAUGCUGGACGGAAACUGACGUUGAGGCUCGAAAGCGUGGGGAGCGAACAGGAUUAGAUACCCGUGUAGUC
RNAcentral lists this ribosomal RNA (440 nucleotides) under uncultured bacterium. Its description in RNAcentral is "partial 16S ribosomal RNA". It matches the Rfam family "Bacterial small subunit ribosomal RNA", at positions 338 to 795 of the family's 1533-position model. The record is from RNAcentral.